Long non-coding RNA from Sander lucioperca (pikeperch), 549 nucleotides. RefSeq lists it as uncharacterized. The transcript is spliced from 2 exons. Lineage: Eukaryota; Metazoa; Chordata; Actinopteri; Perciformes; Percidae. The record is from RefSeq and is a predicted model, not a curated record.
CCUUGGUCACCUGUUGCUGACCCGAAAAAUCGAGCGUUGCUUGUCUCACGCUAGCUGCAUUUGGGCUUGGGGUUGGGUUAGCAGCAGCAGCAAGUGUCGUGUUAGCAUGUGUUGAUGUGAGGUGCUGCAUAAGAUUUGAGUUGCUUGAGGCAGACGUGGAUAAAGUCUUUUUUCCUGGGCAUAGCGUGCAUGUUACAGAAACAUUCUUGCCUUUAAUUUCAAUGAGCGAGAAGUAGUGCCGGUACUUCCAGUUCGAGAACGCUACCUUUGAAUUUCCCUGGCUCGUCGCCAUUGUCGCUGUCCUGUGUUUAGUGGUAGUCAGAGCGUGCAGUGAGACAGCGUGAGCAGGGCAUCUGCCCACCCAGCCAAUCAUCAUCGCAUUUGCAACAGUGUCAUCAUCCCCACCCCUGCUCUCUCCAGGCAGCUGAUGUGUAGCCAAAGCCUGACACCUCGCGCUUCAUUCAACCAAAUUGUAGUAACGCGCCACUUUACAUUCUCAGUAACGAUAACGGCGUUGCAACGAUGGGAAAAGUAAUUAAUUAGAUUACU